Molecule: ribosomal RNA, 465 nt
Filed under: Vreelandella stevensii
Lineage: Bacteria; Pseudomonadati; Pseudomonadota; Gammaproteobacteria; Oceanospirillales; Halomonadaceae
Description: partial 16S ribosomal RNA
Rfam family: Bacterial small subunit ribosomal RNA
Source: RNAcentral
CCUACGGGUGGCUGCAGUGGGGAAUAUUGGACAAUGGGGGCAACCCUGAUCCAGCCAUGCCGCGUGUGUGAAGAAGGCCCUCGGGUUGUAAAGCACUUUCAGUGAGGAAGAACGCCUGGUGGUUAAUACCCAUCAGGAAAGACAUCACUCACAGAAGAAGCACCGGCUAACUCCGUGCCGGCAGCCGCGGUAAUACGGAGGGUGCGAGCGUUAAUCGGAAUUACUGGGCGUAAAGCGCGCGUAGGUGGCUUGAUAAGCCGGUUGUGAAAGCCCCGGGCUCAACCUGGGAACGGCAUCCGGAACUGUCAAGCUAGAGUGCAGGAGAGGAAGGUAGAAUUCCCGGUGUAGCGGUGAAAUGCGUAGAGAUCGGGAGGAAUACCAGUGGCGAAGGCGGCCUUCUGGACUGACACUGACACUGAGGUGCGAAAGCGUGGGUAGCAAACAGGAUUAGAUACCCGAGUAGUC